RNAcentral lists this ribosomal RNA (227 nucleotides) under uncultured bacterium. RNAcentral's name for it is "partial 16S ribosomal RNA". It matches the Rfam family "Bacterial small subunit ribosomal RNA", at positions 108 to 334 of the family's 1533-position model. The record is from RNAcentral.
GCGUAACGCGUAUGCAACCUACCCACAACUGGGGGAUAGCCCGGAGAAAUCCGGAUUAAUACCCCAUAAUGCAUUGAUACCGCAUGGUAUUAAUUGCUAAAGAUUUAUCGGUUGUGGAUGGGCAUGCGUCUGAUUAGUUAGUUGGUGAGGUAACGGCUCACCAAGGCAACGAUCAGUAGGGGGUCUGAGAGGAUGAUCCCCCACACUGGUACUGAGAUACGGACCAG